CCCAUCCUCCAAGGUAACAACCUGUGUUCUCUACUGCUCUGCCCUAACCCAUCCUCCAAGGUAACAACCUGUGUUCUCUACUCCUCUGCCCUAACCCAUCCUCCAAGGUAACAACCUGUGUUUUCUACUGCUCUGCCCUAACCCAUCCUCCAAGGUAACAACCUGUGUUCUCUAUUCCUCUGCCCUAACCCAUCCUCCAAGGUAACAACCUGUGUUCUCUGCUGCUCUGCCCUAACCCAUCCUCCAAGGUAUCAAGGAGGGUGUCAAGAUACAUGUCAAUCAUCUCAAUGAGGAGGGUCUCCAAAGGAGACGAGCCAAUAGGAGACAGAGGCCAUGAGAGCACAUUGGAUUGGUUGUCAAACUUGCAAGAUCCCACAGUUCCUCUCCUCCCUCCUCCUCCUCCUCUUCACUGUGAUCCUGCAUAUACAACAGGGCCUGUUCAUACUCUUGUCAUACAACGGUGGCCUUAGAGUGCACGUUGAGCCACGGACCUAGGUUGAGAGGAGACACCACCUAUACUCAAUGGCAUUUUCUUGAUCACAUAGGCCUGCAUUUGACUGAUUUGACAUUUGAGAGUCUCAUAGCACUUCUUCAAUACUGUGAACAGUAUUAGGUCAUUAGGUCUCACCUGCCUCACCCUCAGCAUUCUUUCACCUGCUGUCUGAACCUCAACAUCGACUACAGGCUCCCCCCUCUGCACGUCAACCUGAGAGAUGGAUGGAGGAGGAGAAAGGCUGGAUGGGGAAGAAGAGAAGGGUGUGAUUCUGUUGGAGAAGAAAGGGAUGGAGAGAAGGAUAAGAGAGAAGGAGGGAUAGACGCCUUUUGCCCAUUUGUGAUAUUACAGAGGACUGAAUAUUCUAUGAAAGAUUUUUCAUUAGUGCUCCUAACUGUUUGGGGGGGCUGUGCUUGUAUGAAACACCUGUUGGACAAGAGCCUCUUCGCUCUACACACAGUCUUAUUUCCAUUAUAAUGACAGAUGGAGGCUGACUCAUUUUACCCAUUAAAAGAGGCACUACCGUGGGCAAACAGCUGAGUCCAUGCUGGGUUAGAGUACAUGAAAGUUCCAUAAUCACAGGGUCAAUAUUAUUCAUUCAUCCACUAAGGGUUAAAGUUGGGAUUUGGGGACCCAUCUAAAAAAGGUAUUCAGACACCAAGACUGGAGGCCGCUGUGUAAUAGGGUGAGCUGGUGUAAAUGCAUCUGAGGGGGUGUAGUACACAAAUGUAGGAGCUGGAUUUGGUGGGUAGAAAAGUGCACUUAUGAUGACACUGUUAACAAAGGUGUGCUGAUUGGUCUAUACACUAUUAAUGGUGUGUUAGUCACCAGACAGAGUCCCAGGGGAGUGAAGCAACAAACUGCUGAGACUGUCUCUCUCUUUGGUAAUUACAUGUAAUUACUCAGUAACUAAUAACUCAUUUCACACAGACUAUAGCCAGUAUCAAUUCACCAAAACUGAUCUUAUCAGCAUCAUCCUACUCAUGUUAGCCUAUCAGCAUCUUCAUACUCAUGUUAGCCUAUCAGCAUUAUCAUACUCAUGUUAGCCUAUCAGCAUCUUCAUACUUAUGUUAGCCUGUCAGCAUCAUCAUACUCAUGUUAGCCUAUCAGCAUCUUCAUACUUAUGUUAGCCUAUCAGCAUCUUCAUACUUAUGUUAGCCUAUCAGCAUCAUCCUACUCAUGUUAGCCUAUCAGCAUCAUCCUACUCAUGUUAGCCUAUCAGCAUCAUCAUACUCAUGUUAGCCUAUCAGCAUUAUCCUACUCAUGUUAGCCUAUCAGCAUCAUCCUACUCAUGUUAGCCUAGCUUACCUUUCUGUCUCCUCCAGAACCCUGUGUCUGAGGAGGAGGGUCCUCCCUGCUGCCACUCAUGGUCGACCAAUCAGAGUCAGAUCAGAAUGUGCAGUGCCUGUAAACAAAACAUGAUGUCAGAUAUUUGGUUAUUCCUAAUCUCAUUCCCAGACACUUCUGCCCAAAGUUGUUCGAAACAUUUCAUGAAAUGGUGGAGCAAAUGAAUGACUUUCUCUGGAAAACAAAUGACUAUCUCUCUCUCUCUAACUCUUUCUGACAAUUUAUGAGUCCUUCAUAGACAGCAUACUGUAAAUGUUUUGCAUUGUAAAUGGCCCCUAUAGACCACAAUAUAAAGGUACGCCUAUUGAGCCUCAUGCUAGUGUAACCCCAAUCUACUUGAUGUGUAAUUUAACACACCUAGCCAUGUAAGACUAUAUCAGGUAGUUCACCUUUGUCAAACACACCAUGAAUACUUUAUAUUAGGAUAUCUUCAUUAUGUGUCUGUUCUUGUCAGCUGUUUGCACCGAAUACUUUGAUGUGAAAUUCUCAUGUCCGUAAAAAAUCAUAACAUUACCAUGUCGAGGUGAGGGAAAAGGUUAAGGAAAAUUUGGAAAAUUACUUCCUCCUUCUCACUGUUUCCAAUGGUAACACGAACAACCAAUCAUAGAGACUUCUGAAGUGAACAUCGUCCUUUUGUCUCUGUGCUCGUUGCUCGACUGCAUGUUGCGGGUCGCAGCCGAUGAUUUAUAUAUACAUUGGUUGCAACAAGUGAGUUGAACCGAAUAUUUUAACAAUCAAAUGUAUGCUAUUCUAUAGCCUCUAUACUUUAAAAUCUCUAUACAGGCCUGGCCUGUCAAUUCUUGAUUAAAGCAUCUGUCUAAUGUUUAGAGGAACAGUCCAGAGACUGGAACAGCCACUGCAUCUAGCCAGCCCAGCGAACUACUUCAUGUGUGCCAUAAAGGUCCAGACCUCUUGUCACAGACUAGAGAGAGCCUUCACUUAUGUUCAUGCACCAUGAUGAUAUGAAUGAAUGGAAACAAAAACAAAACUGUUUAUAGCCAUGUAAUUAAAUACAGGGCCUAUUAACACCCCUUGACUUAUUCCACAUGUUGUUGUGUUGUGAUUUUUUUCUAAC
This 2915-nucleotide long non-coding RNA is filed under the name Salmo salar (Atlantic salmon). RNAcentral's name for it is "lncRNA (ENSSSAG00000086403.1)". Lineage: Eukaryota; Metazoa; Chordata; Actinopteri; Salmoniformes; Salmonidae. The record is from RNAcentral.